UUUUGACCUCAGUUCAGACAAGGCUACCCGCCGAAUUUAAGCAUAUUACUAAGCGGAGGAAAAGAAAAUAACAAUGAUUCCCCUAGUAACGGCGAGCGAACCGGGAAGAGCCCAACUUGGAAAUCUGGAGGCUUGUCCUUCCGAAUUGUAGUCUAGAGUAGUGCCAUCUGCGGCUGGCCGGUCCCAAGUUCCCUGGAAAGGGACGUUAAGAGAGGGUGAGAGCCCCGUCGAGGCCGGUUUAGUCGCUCCACGAUGCGCUUACAAGGAGUCGGGUUGUUUGGGAAUGCAGCCCUAGGCGGGAGGUAAAUUCCUUCUAAGGCUAAAUAUUGGCGAGAGACCGAUAGCGAACAAGUACCGCGAGGGAAAGAUGAAAAGACCUUUGAAAAGAGAGUUAAAAAGUACCUGAAAUUGUUGAGGGGGAAGCGAUUAAAACCAGCGGGUGCUCCCUAGGUAGGCUUUGCCACACGCUAGGGGCUGGUCAACGUGGGUUAGUCGGGGGGGACAUUACUCCUGACUGACCGAGGACUCGACGUUGGCGGAAUGGUUUUAAUCGGCCCGUCUAGAAACACGGACCAAGGAGUCUAA
RNAcentral lists this ribosomal RNA (585 nucleotides) under uncultured Micromonas. Its description in RNAcentral is "eukaryotic LSU rRNA". It matches the Rfam family "Eukaryotic large subunit ribosomal RNA", at positions 1 to 678 of the family's 3401-position model. Lineage: Eukaryota; Viridiplantae; Chlorophyta; Mamiellophyceae; Mamiellales. The record is from RNAcentral.